GAUGAACGCUGGCGGCGUGCCUAAUACAUGCAAGUCGAGCGAACGGACGAGAAGCUUGCUUCUCUGAUGUUAGCGGCGGACGGGUGAGUAACACGUGGAUAACCUACCUAUAAGACUGGGAUAACUUCGGGAAACCGUAGCUAAUACCGGAUAAUAUUUUGAACCGCAUGGUUCAAAAGUGAAAGACGGUCUUGCUGUCACUUAUAGAUUGAUCCGCGCUGCAUUAGCUAGUUGGUAAGGUAACGGCUUAACAAGGCAACGAUGCAUAGCCGACCUGAGAGGGUGAUCGGACACACUGGAACUGAGACACGGCCCAGACUCCUACGGGAGGCAGCAGUAGGGAAUCUUCCGCAAUGGGCGAAAGCCUGACGGAGCAACGCCGCGUGAGUGAUGAAGGUCUUCGGAUCGUAAAACUCUGUUAUCAGGGAAGAACAUAUGUGUAAGUAACUGUGCACAUCUUGACGGUACCUAAUCAGAAAGCCACGGCUAACUACGUG
RNAcentral lists this ribosomal RNA (497 nucleotides) under uncultured bacterium. Its description in RNAcentral is "partial 16S ribosomal RNA". It matches the Rfam family "Bacterial small subunit ribosomal RNA", at positions 28 to 507 of the family's 1533-position model. The record is from RNAcentral.